UACAGAGGGCCCAAGCGUUGUUCGGAUUCAUUGGGCGUAAAGGGCGCGUAGGCGGCGGGGCAAGUCAGGUGUGAAAUCUCGGGGCUCAACCCCGAAACUGCACUUGAUACUGCCUUGCUCGAGUACUGGAGAGGAGACUGGAAUUUACGGUGUAGCAGUGAAAUGCGUAGAUAUCAAGAGGAACACCAGUGGCGAAGGCGAGUCCCUGGACAAUCCCUGACACUGAGGCACGAAAGCCAAGGGAGCAAACAGG
This 253-nucleotide ribosomal RNA is filed under the name uncultured bacterium. RNAcentral's name for it is "partial 16S ribosomal RNA". It matches the Rfam family "Bacterial small subunit ribosomal RNA", at positions 524 to 776 of the family's 1533-position model. The record is from RNAcentral.